GCUGUAGCUCAGUGGUAAAGCAUACGCUUUGCAUGCCCAAGGCCCUGGGUUCAAUCCCCAGGUGGAGCU
Podarcis lilfordi (Lilford's wall lizard) is the source of this 69-nucleotide non-coding RNA. The record is from the annotation of a GenBank genome assembly. NCBI's taxonomy places the organism in Eukaryota, Metazoa, Chordata, Lepidosauria, Squamata, Lacertidae.